Sturnus vulgaris (Common starling) is the source of this 659-nucleotide non-coding RNA. Lineage: Eukaryota; Metazoa; Chordata; Aves; Passeriformes; Sturnidae. The record is from RefSeq and is a predicted model, not a curated record.
AUAAUAUGACUCAUAGAACUUACAAGUAGGAUUUGGAUUUCAAAGGGAAGGUUACAGCAAUUAACACCUACUAGCCUGCUAUGAAGCCAGGCUGGUUUGUCUCUGACAGCCAAAUGCAACAAGUGUGAACAGUCAGUGACUACUGGGAAGGCCUUUGUUUCCCUGAAAGGAACACAAGGAAAUUUUUGUGACACUAUUUGAUCGUAACAUAUAAUUUAUUUAUCUUCUGCUAAAACUUAAAAAUAAAUCAAUAAAUAACAUUUUGAAAGGCUAAAUGCAUUUCUUCAACUGCAAAGUUAAAAGUGACAUGACAGGCUAUACUAGGAAAUGAUGUUGCUAUUCAUCUACCUCCAAAACACAUUUAUGAAAACAACUGAACAAUUAUAUACAUGUUAUGAAGAAGAAAUCACAGUUGCGUUUUUAAAGUUAAACCUGACUGCAGAAAACUGGACAAGAAAGAGAACUGUCAGAACAGCAAGGAAAUUUAGAAAGGCAUUGCCCCUCAUGAGCAAUUUUAUUUUAAAUCUUUGCUUCCUCACUUUUCUGAUGGCAUGGGAAUAACAUGGUAACAGUAGAGCAUCAGAAGAAAUGGUAGGGAGUGGAAAAGUUCAGAAUGAAAAAUCUGGAACAAAUGGAGAAACUCCAAAGCACUGGACAGU